This is a long non-coding RNA of Apteryx haastii (Great spotted kiwi), 2048 nucleotides long. The record is from Ensembl. Lineage: Eukaryota; Metazoa; Chordata; Aves; Apterygiformes; Apterygidae.
UUUUAUGUCCCACGCCUCCGGCCCGCUCCGAACAGCGAAGGCCCGCCAGCCCCCCAAAACAAAAAUAAAGCGUCGCGCAGACCCCCCGGGUGGCACCCCGCAGCCGGAGCAUCGCGCAAGGAGCCGCCGGAUACGGAUCCGCGGCAAGGCCGCGAUGCCGAGGGCGGCUGGAAAGUCUCCCCGCGUGGCCCCCGCUGCCGAGCACGUUUCACCGUGGCUGAAUUGGGGAAAUUUGCUGCUUUUUCCUCCAUCCCGGCCAGGCCGGGGUGCGCAAGGCGCCGGAGCCCCAGCCUCCGCGUGUUGCCCCGCACCAGGCUUGGCCGACAGAGGUUAUCCCGGCACGGGAGGUGAGGAGCGUGGCCCCACCAAGGCAGAGGCCAAGGGGAAGGAAAAGGAGAAGGGGAGGAAGGAAAGGAAAAGGAGAAGGGGAGGAAGGAAAGGAAAAGGAAAAGGAGAGAAAGGAAAGGAAAAGGAAAAGGAAAAGGAAAAGGAAAAGGAGAGAAAGAAAAGGAGAAGGAAAAGGAAAGAAGGAAUAGGAAAAGAAGAGAAAGAAAAUGGAAAAAGAAAAGGAGAGAAAGCAAAGGAAAAGAAAAAGGGGAGAAGGAAAAGGUGAGAAAGAAAAGGAAAAGGUGAGAAAGAAAAGGAGAAGAAGAAGAACAGGAAUAAGAAAGAAGGAAGGAGGGAGAAGGAAGGAAGGAGACAAGGAAGGAAGGAGGGUGGGAAGGAAGGAGAGAGACAAGGAAGGGAGGGAGGAAAGAAAGGAGGGAAAGAAGGAAGGAGGGAAGGAAGGAUGGAAAGAAGGUGGAAGGGUAGGAGAGAAGGGAGGAGGAAAGGCAGGAGAGGAAGGGAAACAGUGCCGGCCUCCACGUGGCCACCCAGUGGGUGCCAUGGUGGCAGGUGCCACCAUGGCAGGUGCCACGGUAGCGGGUCCCGCUGCGCUGGGUGCCACCAUGCUGGUAGCCGUGCUGGUGGACGCCACCGUGGUGGACACCACCGUGGUGGGUGCCACGGUGGCAGGUGCCACCACAGCGGGUGCCACGGUGGCGGGUGCCACGGCGGCGGGUGCCACGGCCAGCACCAGGGACAGCGGCUCCYGCAGACCAUGGACAGCGGCCUCGGGGGGGGCCAUGGGCCACCGUUGGCCACCGUUGGCCACGGUAGACCAUGGGCCACCGCCACCGCGGGCCGCCAGCCCCAGCGGGCCACCGCGGGUGACGGCAGCUGUCCCCGGCCUCGUCGCGGCCCGAAYGGGGCGGUUUUUGCCCCGAAACGGCGCCGGGUUUCAGGGCCGGGGGAAGCGGGAGGCGAGGCGAGCGGCAGGCAAUCAAAGACAGAUGGGGGAGCCGGGACGCGCGCAGCACGUGGCGCCGGUGCCUCAUCCCCGGCAACACAAAGGAGCGCGGGAGGCAUCGCUGCGCGGAUUAGCAUCUGCCCGGUGCGCGGCCCUUUCCGAGGCAUUUGCUUCUCAUCAGCGCGAGCCGGCGCACCGGCGCUGCCUCCGGAGAUCCCGUCCCUGGGAAAAGGCGGCGCGCCGCAAAGCGAGCAGGGACGCCCGCUUCACCCGAGCUCCUCGCGUCGGCUGCAGACCCUGCCCUCUCCGGAGAGGCGCUUCCAAACGCCUCCCGGAUUUUUUUCCCCCUUUUUUUCCCCCCGUUCGCCCGUGUUGCAAAGGCUGGUAGCAAUUUUGUAGCAGGCAAACGUCUCCAGCGGAGAUGUUCCCCGGGAGCAUCACAUCUCACUGCCUUUGCACCGCCCUGUGCCGGGAGCAGCCCGCUCCGGACUGUGGAUGGCCAGGAGCGCUCGGCCCUCGCGAACGCAGGCGCCGGCCAAAACAAGCAUUUUGCAGCCACAUUUCCGGCUCCCGUUUUAAAGCAUCGGCUCUUUUGACACAGCUUCGCCCGGUUUGGCUCCAGCAGCAGGAACGGUCCGGCAACGUGGACCGCUGUCCCCUCCAGGAGCCGAGCCGGAGGCGCCAAAACCAGCCUUCAAAACUGCUCGACCGGCUCCAGUCCCGCUCCGAAUCCCUUUCCGCAGCGUUUCCCUGCACC